This 285-nucleotide long non-coding RNA is filed under the name Ananas comosus (pineapple). RNAcentral describes it as "long non-coding RNA (ACOM_LNC019497)". The record is from RNAcentral. Lineage: Eukaryota; Viridiplantae; Streptophyta; Magnoliopsida; Poales; Bromeliaceae.
CUGCAAUAGAACAAAAUUGGAGGGAAAAAAAAAGACGAUAAUUCGAGAUCGGAAAAGAGAAAUUACGACCAGGGUUUGGUGGAGAUGACGUGGAUUGAGUAGCCAUGUGUGCAAUUUUCCCACUACUUUACGAGGGUUUUAUUUGGCGGGUUGUGGAAGCCACAGAGAAGAAUGAAGAAAAAGACGAACUGUAGAUAUCAAUUUAUAGUUAUAGUUGUAAUAAAAAGAAAUAUCUUUUAAAUUAAAUGUAUGUGAGUACAAGAUGGACGAUGCUUUGCUGGGUAA